GACGAACGCUGGCGGCGUGCUUAACACAUGCAAGUCGAACGGAAAGGCCCUGCUCUUGUGGGGUGCUCGAGUGGCGAACGGGUGAGUAACACGUGAGUAACCUGCCCUUGACUUUGGGAUAACUUCAGGAAAAUGGGGCUAAUACCGGAUAGGAGCUCCUGAUGCAUGGGGGGGGAUGGAAAGUUUCGGCGGUUGGGGAUGGACUCGCGGCUUAUCAGCUUGUUGGUGAGGUAGUGGCUGACCAAGGCUUUGACGGGUAGCCGGCCUGAGAGGGUGACCGGCCACAUUGGGACUGAGAUACGGCCCAGACUCCAACGGGAGGCAGCAGUGGGGAAUAUUGCACAAUGGGCGCAAGCCUGAUGCAGCAGCGCCGCGUGCGGGAUGAUGGCCUUCGGGUUGUAAACCGCUUUCGCCUGUGCCGAAGAGUGAGUGACGGUAAUGGGUAAAGAAGCACCGGCUAACUACGUG
This 468-nucleotide ribosomal RNA is filed under the name uncultured bacterium. RNAcentral describes it as "partial 16S ribosomal RNA". It matches the Rfam family "Bacterial small subunit ribosomal RNA", at positions 28 to 507 of the family's 1533-position model. The record is from RNAcentral.